GAUCUUACCUGCAGUGGAAGAGAUGAAAUAUAAUUGUUUAAUAACAUUAUCAGUUUUAAACACAGUUGCUUGAUUACAGGAAUCAUAUUAGUAUUCAAAAGUAGCCUAAAAUGUAAUAUGAACCGGACAAAUUAUUUUGAAUUUUGUCAAACGUGUCAAUGUAAUGGAGCCGAAUGUCAAAUGCCUGCCAAUGUAAUGGAGCUGAGAGCCACAAACCUGCAAUUGUUAUGGAACCGAAUGUCAAAUGCCUGCCAAUGUAAUGAAGAUGAGAGUCGCAAUCUUGCCACUAUAAUGAAACCGAUGGCUAGAAACGCGCGACCUUCAUCAGUUGGCGAAAUGAAAUCUGCGGAAAUCCCCAUGUAACAGGGAGGAUUGAUGUUAUUGAACAGAAGGACAACCCAGUUAACCCAAAACAUGCACAGCCUCGUCUUUGAACCGGGAAAAAGAUAUACUAGCACUCCAACCGUGUAAUGGAACGUGCAUCGCCUCACCCGGAAACCGAGGUAAAGUUUGGCCCUAGACGUGGUAGGGGACGUUCAUAGCCACACAAGAGAACUGAGAAAAUAGACUCCUAACGUAUUUUAGGACGUGUACAUCCUCGUCUGGGAACCGAGAGGAAGACAGGCUCACAACUUUGUAUCAAACGUUUACCGGCCUAGUCGGGAACCGAAAACAAGCUAAGAUCCAAAAGCAGUGUGGUACUUUUACCGCCUCACCCAGAAACCGAAAAAGACACUAGAUUCCUAACGUAGUUUGAGACAAUUAUAUGUCGUAUAUUCAAACAUGUUUAAGCUGCUUUAAAGUGACAAGAAUUGAAAAUAUAGUGGAUCCAUAGUAUCUUACACUGAUUGCCAAUUAAUACAAAAGAAUAUAUGAGACGGGUACGUUUGCUUACGUAUAAAGCCAGCCGAGUUCAAUAUUUCAAAACGUAAUUUUUAUUCAUUAUAUUUUCAUAAUAAGUAACCCGAUACGUUGGUUGUGACAGCGAUGGAAAUCUUUUCUAAAUCAUUGCAAAUCGAUUUUGAAAUAUCAGGGUGUAGGUUAUAUAAAACAUUUAAUUGCUUUUAACCGACAGUUAAAAUUGAUAUCUUAAAUCUCAAACAUAAACUGUCUGUGUAGAUUUAAAUUCAACAUGAUUAAGCUAUAAAGUGAAAAGAACGGACAAUUUAGUGGGUAUAUAGGAUCUUAUAAUGUUUACCACCUUAAUACAAACAAAAUAUGACGAUUAUAUAUGCAUUCUUAUUUAGCCAGCCGAGUUUAAUAUUUCAGAAGUUUUAUUUUCUUAAUAAAAAACCCUUGCGUUCGGUGAAACAGCUAUGGAAAUCCCCUCUAAAUCACUGCAAAUUCUACUUUCGAUUGCGAAACAUCAGGGUGUAUGUUAUAUAAAGCAUUGAAUAGCUUCCAACCUACAGUUAUUUUUUUAUUUUUUUUAUCUCAAACCUCAAACAUGAAUCUUUACCUUUGCAUCGUUUAUAUUUGGUGCAAUAGAACGAGUAAUUAAUUAACAUUUGGAAAAAACUAACCAUAAACCGUAUUAUUUAAACACUUUGAAAAAGCCAAAUCCAGUAAGCUUAAAUGUCAAAGACAACCAAAUAUGUUUUAUAUAACGAAAUAAAAUUUGCGUAAUUUUGAAAUUCUACUUUCGGUUUCAGGUUUAAUUGUCAAUUCAUGUGGUCAUUUAUAUGCGAAAAACACACGGUAUGAAUCGGUAUUAAUCCAAUCAAUUAAAAUACUUUAAAACGCAAUGUUUUCAAAGAAGUCAAAAUAAGAUAUGUAAUAGGUUAUUGAUUAUUAAAGCUAGUUAUAGUCGACAUGUAGAUUUGUUAAAAUCUAUAACAUAUAUCUAACGGCAAUUACCUUCCCAAAUCAAAUCAGAGCGUUAAAUUUGUGUACGCAAUAAAGUGACAGCCCCCUGGCAUGGAUAAUUGAUGAUCGUACAUAGGAGGAUGCGCAACAAGAAUAUACAAGAUACAAGAAUAUUUAUUCAACGUCUGGUAUGUUCAAAGUAUGAAGUACAUUAUGAAAUGAGAAUAACGGAUUUAGGAAUGAAGACUAAAUUUUGAUAUCACCACAUCUUAAUGGUACAUUGAGAGACAGGAGUAAGAAAUUAAAUUUUAAUUCAAACAGAGCAAGCUUUUUUUCUAAAUUUUCUUUGCACUGAUAUCAGCUUAAAAGAAGUCUCUUAUUCUAAAAAAAGCGUUCUUGUUGUAUUACUUUUAAAUCACGAAAAACGACUCUUCAUUCAUGUAUUGAAAAGCACUACAAAAUAAAUAACGGAGCCACUUCGCAAAUCCUUUUUUCUGUCAAAUAAAACAACAACAUACAAUAAGGGCCAUGACAACGUAUCUGGAACAAUUUGAAACUAAAAACAACAACAACAUAAGCUAUGCAUCACAGAAGAAGUGAUAAAACAAUCUCCUCAGUGUAAUGAUUUACAAUGGAAUAUAUCUCUUUAAUUUAGUUAUAUUGGCAGAGAAAUUAAUUUUUACAAGUUUCGCCUUUAUAGGGCAAAGGUAGUUUACACAAAAUGAGGUAUUUCGCACUUACAGUAAGUCUUUACAUGUAAUAUAAAUUUCUCUGGUAUUAGUUAAAAAAAACAACCUUUAGGCUGAGACAUCCUUACAGAGUUAUAUCAAGUACUACUAGUUAUUCAAAUUUACAAAAAGGGUACAAUUUAAUUUAAUUAUUAUUCAUGGAAAUCAAUCAUUUAAGCCCAACGCAACUGUUUUUAUAAAGACAAACCAUUUUAAGAAAAUAAUGGUUGAAACUAUUUUUGAUAAUACCUUGCCCUUUCUUUGCAUUGUUUCAUGGUCCAAAAUUAAACAAAUUUCAAUAAUCAUCAUGUUUACUCGGCAUUGUCUCUAAGCAUUUUUUUUUAUUUUAUCAAAAAAUAGUAAAAAGUGCUUUGCAGCAUCAAAAACGUCUUUUAAAGAAGGCGUCUGGCAUGAAAACUCAUAAAAAUAUAAUAUUGUAUAUAAAGAAAAAAGCUAGGUUUUAAGAUUGUUUACAACUGUUGACCAAAGAAUGUUUCACAUGACUGUUAUUCUGACCAAAACGGACAUGUUUCGUUAAAUGAAGUGUAUGCUUUGUGAUAGAUGCGUUAACAUAUGUUAAUAAAGAUCUAUUUUACAGAUUGUCAAAUUCGUCAAACUAUUGAAAUAAAUUGGUUUGUUGUUUUCAAUUUAUCUUACAAUAAAAGAAAAUAACUUUCAAACAAAUGUUUUGUUAACCUAGAAUAGUCACGUGAUCUAGGCGCGAACACUCGAAUUUUGAAUGUGGAAAUAAUUUUGGAAUUAAUUAAGAAUAAAAGCUUUAUAAAAUUAGUUGAAUGGUGGAUUUAAUGUAGUUUAGUGGUUGGAACACAUUCACAAUGAAAUAUAAUGACUAAAUCGAAAAAUAAGAAGAGGAAAGAUAGAAAUAGUAGUGGCAAUGAAACCAACAGUCGGAAAAUAUGUAAACAAAGAGGUGGGGUGCCCGAGGAUAACACCAGCGGGAGUGAGACGGCGGAAGCCACGGAGAGGAAGCUACGCCAACAUCUAUAGGACGCCUUCAAGAUCGCCCGCGAGAUGGCCGAGAGCAUCCGGUUUGAGCGGGUGCAUCGGUCACCAGGCGCGCCGGUGACGGGGAAGAUCAGGAACAUUGUGGCCAAGUUCACUUUUUUCAAGGACAGAGAAAUGGUUAGGAAAUCGUGGAAACAGCUGGAUGGGACCGUGUUUCGUGUUUUCGAACAGUUUCCGCCGGAUGUAAUUCAGAAGAGGAGAGUACUAGUUCCGAAGAUGAAGGAGGCGAGGC
Molecule: long non-coding RNA, 3792 nt
Organism: Mya arenaria
Lineage: Eukaryota; Metazoa; Mollusca; Bivalvia; Myida; Myidae
Exons: 3
Source: RefSeq, a predicted model, not a curated record